This 617-nucleotide ribosomal RNA is filed under the name uncultured Actinomycetes bacterium. Its description in RNAcentral is "bacterial SSU rRNA". It matches the Rfam family "Bacterial small subunit ribosomal RNA", at positions 556 to 1174 of the family's 1533-position model. The record is from RNAcentral. Lineage: Bacteria; Bacillati; Actinomycetota; Actinomycetes.
GGGCGUAAAGAGCUUGUAGGCGGCUUGUCGCGUCUGCUGUGAAAGCCCGGGGCUUAACCCCGGGUCUGCAGUGGGUACGGGCAGGCUAGAGUGUGGUAGGGGAGGCUGGAAUUCCUGGUGUAGCGGUGGAAUGCGCAGAUAUCAGGAGGAAAACCGAUGGCGAAGGCAGGUCUCUGGGCCAUUACUGACGCUGAGAAGCGAAAGCGUGGGGAGCGAACAGGAUUAGAUACCCUGGUAGUCCACGCCGUAAACGUUGGGCGCUAGGUGUGGGUCCCAUUCCACGGGGUCCGUGCCGCAGCUAACGCAUUAAGCGCCCCGCCUGGGGAGUACGGCCGCAAGGCUAAAACUCGAAGGAAUUGACGGGGGCCCGCACAAGCGGCGGAGCAUGGGGAUUAAUUCGAUGCAACGCGAAGAACCUUACCAAGGCUUGACAUGUACCGGAAACCCUCGGAGACGGGGGCCCCGCAAGGCUGGUACACAGGUGGUGCAUGGUUGUCGUCAGCUCGUGUCGUGAGAUGUUGGGUUAAGUCCCGCAACGAGCGCAACCCUCGUUCUAUGUUGCCAGCGGUUCGGCCGGGGACUCAUAUGAGACUGCCGAGGUCAACUCGGAGGAAGGU